CUGCUGUUGUGCAGUGAUGAUUUAUUUAUAGUCAGUUUUUCCCUGUUUUUGCUCUUGACUCUUUCUCGCAUAUCCAUCCAUAUAUUUAUAUAUAAUUAUUUGAUGCUCCAUCCCAUUCCAUCUCCCAAAGUACCACCUGGCGUUGCGUGUUCAGCUCCUCCAGACUGGACCAAAAAAAAAGUGUUUGCCUUCGUAAUCUUUAAUCCAAAUUUGAAAAUGCACCUCCCCCUCGGAAAUGACUGGCCUUCUCUGAUGACGUCAGUUUGACGGUUUGGGUUUAAGCAGAAGCCACGCCCCUCCUAGUGUGCCGCGUGAGCUUCGACACAGCGCGCGAAGGAGAAACCGCGUAGUUAACAAACAGAAAUGGCGAGGAGGUGCGUUUUAGGUUGUGGUUCUCCCGAAACCCUUUUCCCAAUCCCCAAAAUACCCUGGUUGCGGUCACGAUGGCUCGUUUUUUUGCACUUCGAGGAAGGGGGGAUAUCAGAGAGGUCGCGGUUGUGUUCGAAGCACUUCACACGCGAAUGCUUCAAGAAUUGGACACAACACGAAAUGGGGUUUGUGAAAUAUCUGUCACUAACCGAUACGGCUGUCCCAUCUGUCUACACCGUUGGUUCCUCACAAAGUUUGAAGCCCCUAACAAGAGAUGUGGCAUGUCAAUGUGAUGCACCAUAUUUGAAGAGUGUGUCGAUACAAACAAUAACACAAAAGCUGAAAAGACGGAGUAAAGCGAUUCAAGUGAAGCCUUUUGGACACUCUGUUGGCAUCUCUUGUUCCGAGAGUGUUGGCACAAGUCUUGAACCUCGGUAUUUCACAUCAACACCAAUUAAAAGGCCACAAAUUGAAGACACCACGAUCAAUGACAGCUCAACAUGCACCUCAAAGCAAUUGUCAGAUGUCAACUAUGAGCCUGAUAUCACUCAAGAAGGCAGUGAAAAGUCUGUUCACAGUGCCUCCACAAAAAACAGUGGAACAGCCAGCCAUUCAUCUGAAAUACACCAGCUGGAAAUCUGCAUUUGUCGGCGGCAGUAGCCUUUAGUGGCACAUCUUACAUACAGAUCCAUAAGGUCCUGUCAGCUCUGUCUGGAAUGCAUUUGUCAUCAAAAGGUCUUUCUCCAGCCAACAAUCUUGUGGCACUGGAGGUCUGAACAAAAUACAAUUUUGGAGAGGGUAAAGUGUUCUGGAAAUGCUGUUGUCUUGGAUGGUGACAUGAGAGCUGAUUCAACAGGAGUAAUGUGUUUAUGGAGGAAUCACAGCAGUGGGAGGAUCCUCUGAUGCAGCUGUGACAGAAUCCUCUUGGAUCAGAGCAGCUUUAGCAGGAACCUCUGGGAGCAGGGAGGUUGAGAGAGGAGCUCUGGGACUGAAGCAGCCUUGAACACCAGCUCUGGCUGAAGCUACGACCGCAAACACUGGGACGGCCUUGACUGGAACUACUUUGCUGUUCUUUACCAUCAUGAGAGGAACCUUUGUAGUGGACAGGACGGGCGUCAGUGUGACUCGGUCAAUCAUGUCAGAAACCUCUUCUGGGAGUGCACUUCAGGCCGGGACAAGAAGCUCUGGAACCAGUGGCUCUGGAAAGGUACCCUGUGGAGUGACCUCUGUGGUGCCUGUGACUCUGAUCUCUCUGACCUCAGCAGAUUCUGGAGCAGCAGCAUUCACAUUGUUUUCGGAAGUGGCCCUGAUUUCUUUGGGACUCAUUUGUCCGUGGCAGGAACUUUAGGAUCAGACACAACCGAGGCCUGCCAGCCCCGCAAGACGCUAAAGCUGGAGAGAUGGAGGGGUCACCUGUCCCAGACCUCCAGACACAAGACUGACCCUCUUCACCAGGACCUGAAACACAAUGAGAAAUUAUACAAAUUACACAAACAUACUUCAUAAGGUAUAAAAAUACAUCUGACAUCAUGUGCAGUGUAUAUGGAUUGACUAUAUACUAGGGGUUGCACCGACUAGUCGACUUCAAUGCUCUGCCAUGAUGCUUUAAGCUUGAC
This is an RNA transcript of Sinocyclocheilus anshuiensis, 1985 nucleotides long. RefSeq lists it as uncharacterized. NCBI's taxonomy places the organism in Eukaryota, Metazoa, Chordata, Actinopteri, Cypriniformes, Cyprinidae. The transcript is spliced from 6 exons. The record is from RefSeq and is a predicted model, not a curated record.